Molecule: ribosomal RNA, 254 nt
Filed under: uncultured bacterium
Lineage: Bacteria
Description: partial 16S ribosomal RNA
Rfam family: Bacterial small subunit ribosomal RNA
Source: RNAcentral
UACGUAGGGGGCAAGCGUUGUUCGGAAUUACUGGGCGUAAAGGGCUCGUAGGCGGCCAACUAAGUCAGACGUGAAAUCCCUCGGCUUAACCGGGGAACUGCGUCUGAUACUGGAUGGCUAGAGUGUGGGAGAGGGAUGCGGAAUUCCAGGUGUAGCGGUGAAAUGCGUAGAUAUCUGGAGGAACACCGGUGGCGAAGGCGGCAUCCUGGACCACGACUGACGCUGAGUGAGCGAAAGCCAGGGGAGCAAACGGG